CAUGCAAGUCGAACGAAUCCCGGGGGGGUAACUCUCCGGGGGAAGUGGCGAAAGGGGCAGUAAGGCGUGGGUAACCUACUCCGGGGAUGGGCAUAGCCGUUCUAACGGACGGGUAAUUCCCAGCGAUCUGGCAGGGGGGCAUCUCCCGGCCAGGAAACGAACCUCGCCUCGGGAGGGGCUCACGUGGUAUUAGCUGGUUGGUGGGGUAACGGCCCACCAAGGCCCAGAUGCCUAGCGGGUGUGAGAGCACGACCCGCGCCACUGGCACUGCGACACUGGCCAGACUCCUACGGGAGGCUGCAGUCGAGGAUCUUCGGCAAUGGGCGCAAGCCUGACCGAGCGACGCCGCGUGCGCGACGAAGGCCUUCGGGUCGUAAAGCGCUGUCGCGGGGGAGGAAAGCCGCAAGGCCUGACCGACCCCGGGAGGAAGCACGGGCUAAGUUCGUGCCAGCAGCCGCGGUAAGACGAACCGUGCGAACGUUGUUCGGAAUCACUGGGCUUAAAGGGCGCGUAGGCGGCCCGCCCAGUCCGAGGUGAAAGCCCCCGGCUCAACCGGGGAAGGGCCUUGGAUACUGGCGGGCUCGAGGGGGAUAGGGGCGGACGGAACUUCCGGUGGAGCGGUGAAAUGCGUUGAUAUCGGAAGGAACGCCGGUGGCGAAAGCGGUCCGCUGGGUCCCCACUGACGCUGAGGCGCGAAAGCCAGGGGAGCAAACGGGAUUAGAUA
Molecule: ribosomal RNA, 724 nt
Filed under: uncultured Planctomycetota bacterium
Lineage: Bacteria; Pseudomonadati; Planctomycetota
Description: bacterial SSU rRNA
Rfam family: Bacterial small subunit ribosomal RNA
Source: RNAcentral